CAGAGUGGACAGGCGGUCGCGCCCCGAGCGAAAGCGGAGGGUGAGGAAAGUCCGAACUCCAAAGGGCAGGGCGCCGGAUAACGUCCGGGAGGGGCAACCCUACGGAAAGUGCAACAGAAACAUACCACCCCAGCGCGGCAUCUGUCCGUUGGGGCAAGGGUGAAAUGGCGAGGUAAGAGCUCACCGGCAGCCGGGUAACCGUCUGGCCGGGCAAACCCCGCCUGGAGCAAGACCAAAUAGGAGGGAAGAGACUGCCCGUCUCGUCAGAACCCUCGGGUUGGUCGCUUGAGACGUUGGGCAACCAACGCCCCAGACAGAUGAUCGCCACCCCGUUCGCGGGGGACAGAAUUCGGCUUAUCGGCCACCCUGUGUC
This 373-nucleotide RNase P RNA is filed under the name Chloroflexota bacterium. RNAcentral's name for it is "RNase P RNA component class A". It matches the Rfam family "Bacterial RNase P class A". Rfam says of the family: Ribonuclease P (RNase P) is a ubiquitous endoribonuclease, found in archaea, bacteria and eukarya as well as chloroplasts and mitochondria. The record is from RNAcentral. Lineage: Bacteria; Bacillati; Chloroflexota.